UACGGAGGGUGCGAGCGUUUGUCCGGAAUCAUUGGGCGUAAAGGGCGCGUAGGUGGCUUCUCAAGCGUGCGGUGAAAGCCUGGGGCUCAACCCCGGGUCGGCCGUGCGAACUGGGGGGCUGGAGCACUGUAGAGGCAGGCGGAAUUCCGGGUGUAGCGGUGGAAUGCGUAGAGAUCCGGAAGAACACCGGUGGCGAAGGCGGUCACUGGGCAGUGCUGACACUGAGGCG
RNAcentral lists this ribosomal RNA (229 nucleotides) under uncultured bacterium. RNAcentral's name for it is "partial 16S ribosomal RNA". It matches the Rfam family "Bacterial small subunit ribosomal RNA", at positions 524 to 753 of the family's 1533-position model. The record is from RNAcentral.